GAUGAACGCUAGCGGCAGGCUUAAUACAUGCAAGUCGAGGGGCAGCACGGUUAGCAAUAACUGGUGGCGACCGGCGCACGGGUGCGUAACACGUAUACAAUCUACCUUAAACAGGGGGAUAGCCUUUCGAAAGAGAGAUUAAUACCCCGUAAUAAAUUGAACGGCAUCGUUUGAUUUUGAAAGCUCCGGCGGUUUGAGAUGAGUAUGCGUCUGAUUAGCCAGUUGGUGAGGUAACGGCUCACCAAGGCGACGAUCAGUAGGGGAUCUGAGAGGACUAACCCCCACACUGGUACUGAGACACGGACCAGACUCCUACGGGAGGCAGCAGUAAGGAAUGUUGGUCAAUGGAGGCAACUCUGAACCAGCCAUGCCGCGUGCAGGAUGACGGCCCUAUGGGUUGUAAACUGCUUUAUACAAGAGAAAACCCUGGUACGUGUACCAGGUUGAUAGUAUUGUAAGAAUAAGCAUCGGCUAAUUACGUGCCAGCAGCCGCGGUAA
RNAcentral lists this ribosomal RNA (498 nucleotides) under uncultured bacterium. RNAcentral describes it as "bacterial SSU rRNA". It matches the Rfam family "Bacterial small subunit ribosomal RNA", at positions 28 to 523 of the family's 1533-position model. The record is from RNAcentral.